UAGACCACAUUAUCUUUUCGUUAUGGUGAACGGUAAUUAUAUAACUACAACAUUUAGCUCAUAGCCUGCAUUAUCUCUACAUUGCAGCGAACGAAAAAUAUAAAUAUACUAUGAGUAAUUGACUCAUAUGCUACAUUAUCUCUUCGUUGUAACAAACGAUAAAAUUAAAUAUACUAUGAGAAAUUGACUCAUAUGCUACAUUAUCUCUUCGUUGUAGCAAACAACAAUUAUAAAUAUACUAUGAGAAAUUGACUCAGUAUCUCUUCGUUGUAGCAAACGGCAACUAUGAAGCACCGACACUGACACGAACACCGGACACGGACACGUGAACACCCGUCAAACACAUCAAACUCAACCCAGACACGGGCGUCGGUGUCGUGUCAAACACCAAACAAGGCAAGGGACUGGAGUGUCCGUGCUUCAAAGAAUAACAAUCACUCAUGAACUCACAAUAAAUAGAAUAAACAAAUAAUCCAACAUUCAUUCUUAUAUAAUAUAUAUAUUUUGAAGUUUACUUGCUUCUCCUAAAAGAACUUUAAAAAAAUGUCGUUAAGUAGAUUAACUACUCACACAAAAGAACGCAAUCAAUGUCUUCCAAUGCUGUUGGGAGGAUCAACCACCGUAUUUCCCACAGGAUCUUCUAAGCAUUUAAAAUAAGAGAACAAGAGAUUAGGCAAAAUCCCCAAUACUUAGUUUCUAACCCUCUUCACACAACCCAUAACUAAACAAUGCUAUAAAUACUCAUCUAACACAAUGGGUUAUAAAUUUUUACCUUGAAGAGAUCAAAUAGAAAAAAUUUUAAGGAAAUGAGCAGCAUUAUUCUACAUACCACCAAAGAUCCCUAAUACUUAUAAAUUUUUACAUUGAAGAGAUCCCUAAAUUUUCCGUUCCCUUUUUUUUAAGUGAAACAGUGCGUUUCAUGUUCUGAACUGACAAACGACAUCCAAUUUAAGGGGACAUACUUAAAGAUCAUAUAAAAGAACAACAUAAUUCUACAUACCAAAAAUUGACCUGACUGUUCAAUAUACUCUUUCCAAUAUACUAGUAGUCCAUUGAGAAGACACAGUAACAAAGAUCAAUUCUUUAGAAACAUGUGAACAGCG
This 1103-nucleotide long non-coding RNA is filed under the name Glycine max (soybean). RNAcentral describes it as "long non-coding RNA (GMAX_LNC002143)". The record is from RNAcentral. Lineage: Eukaryota; Viridiplantae; Streptophyta; Magnoliopsida; Fabales; Fabaceae.